Molecule: microRNA precursor, 129 nt
Organism: Capsella rubella
Lineage: Eukaryota; Viridiplantae; Streptophyta; Magnoliopsida; Brassicales; Brassicaceae
Source: Rfam
GAGUCCCUUUGAUAUUGGCCUGGUUCACUCAGAUCUUCCUGCUGACCACUAUACUCGUACAUAUACCAAAAAAAAAAAAACAUUCUCUAGAUUAUCUGAUUGAGCCGCGCCAAUAUCCCAGUGCUCUCU